ACACACACACACACACACACACAAUGGAGUAUUACUCAACCUUAAAAAAAAGAUCUUGCCAUCUGCAAUAACACGGAAGGACCCAGCUAGAGAAGAGAGAGCAUGUCGGAGAAGAGAGAGAAAGAAUCCCAAACAGGUUCCACACUCAGUGCAGAGCCCGAUGAGGGCUUGAACCCACGAACUGUAAGAUCAUGACCUGAGCUGAAAUCAAGAGUUGGAUGCUUAACUGACUGAGCCAGCCAGGCACCCCCAAAAAUAUGUUUUUAAGUAUUUCAAAGACUCUGGAAAAAAGUCUUGUUUUCUUUAAACAUAUGAAGUUACUAUUUCAUUAUGAUAUAAUAAAAUUUCACUUUAUGUCAUAAAA
This is a long non-coding RNA of Acinonyx jubatus (cheetah), 364 nucleotides long. RefSeq lists it as uncharacterized. The transcript has 2 exons. The record is from RefSeq and is a predicted model, not a curated record. Lineage: Eukaryota; Metazoa; Chordata; Mammalia; Carnivora; Felidae.